UACCAGCACCCCGAGUGGUCGGGACGAUUAUUGGGCCUAAAGCAUCCGUAGCCGGUUCUGCAAGUCCCCCGUUAAAUCCAGCUGCUCAACAGAUGGGCCGCGGAGGAUACUACAGAGCUAGGAGGCAGGAGAGGCAAGCGGUACUCAGUGGGUAGGGGUAAAAUCCGUUGAUCCAUUGAAGACCACCAGUGGCGAAGGCGGCUUGCCAGAAUGCGCUCGACGGUGAGAGAUGAAAGCUGGGGGAGCAAACCGG
This 253-nucleotide ribosomal RNA is filed under the name uncultured bacterium. Its description in RNAcentral is "partial 16S ribosomal RNA". It matches the Rfam family "Archaeal small subunit ribosomal RNA", at positions 474 to 727 of the family's 1478-position model. The record is from RNAcentral.